Molecule: unclassified non-coding RNA, 196 nt
Filed under: uncultured Arthrobotrys
Lineage: Eukaryota; Fungi; Ascomycota; Orbiliomycetes; Orbiliales; Orbiliaceae
Description: sequence contains ITS1
Source: RNAcentral
CCAAAGAGUGAGAGAUCACUCUCAACCCGCUCGGUGUCCAGAUCCCUGGGCUCCGAACCGGUCAACCCUUUGUGAACCAAAAAAUCUUUCGCUUCGGCAGCCGGGCUUGACCGCCUGUCAGCCUGCCGCUAGCACCAACCUUUCAAAACCUGUUGUUGAACAUUGUCUGAUGACCAAAAUUUUCGAAUGAAAAUCA